AAGGAAAAGGUUUCUUUCUAGUUGGACAUUCAAAGGAAAAUAACAGGCUCUAAGAAAAGGGAAGAAAAUGGAGAAUAUCUGUAGCCCAUCAAUUGGGUGAUUUUUGUCCCAUGUUGCAUUUUGUCAAGUCUGCAUAAGGAUGAGAGUUGGCCUGGAGCCAAGGGACUCUUUAAAUCUACAGAGGAAUUCAUAGCGGAAAAUCGCUGCAUAUAUUUUGCUGACAUCUCUUACAAAUCCACAUUGCUGCAUUGUGCUAAGGAACACAGAUGAAGGAAAGGGGAGAUUUUCAUCUUCAACCAAAUAGAAAAUUAAUUCAUCUCUACAUGAGUUCCUUGACUAUGUUACUCUUCAAAUUAAAGGGUCUAUCAUAUCCAGCGUCCUCAGAUGAAUUUGUGGUUUUAUAUUUUUUCUUAGUGGUGUACAGUCUGUCCCUACAUCUUAUUUUUUUAGAUAGUUAAAGAUGUGCCUCUUA
RNAcentral lists this long non-coding RNA (472 nucleotides) under Homo sapiens (human). Its description in RNAcentral is "HSALNT0350211". Lineage: Eukaryota; Metazoa; Chordata; Mammalia; Primates; Hominidae. The record is from RNAcentral.